This 341-nucleotide long non-coding RNA is filed under the name Rattus norvegicus (Norway rat). Its description in RNAcentral is "long non-coding RNA NONRATT031350". Lineage: Eukaryota; Metazoa; Chordata; Mammalia; Rodentia; Muridae. The record is from RNAcentral.
CCAAUAGUUAGAAUCUGGUGGGAUCAUGAGUGGGUACAUAACUGGAGACAAGGACUCUCUUUUUUCUAGAAUCUGCCUAUCACCAGGACAUCAGCAGCAUGUGUUGAGUCCCUUUGAGCUCUUUUCACAUCCCUGGCUAAGAGAUAAGAGGACCACUCUUGUGAAAUUUGAUGCCAAUGGUGUUUUGCACUUUUCAUUGUUAGCUCCAAGCCCUGGAAGGUUGAACUUAAGAUGCUGAAGAAGCAAUGCAAAGAUAUCUAAUCAGCUCCAGUACACCCUUCCACUCUCACUUUUCUUUUAAAUGAAUAAAGAUGCUUGUAAGAUCAUGGGCCACCACAAGC